UACAGAGGUCUCAAGCGUUGUUCGGAUUCAUUGGGCGUAAAGGGUGCGUAGGCGGCGCGGUAAGUCGGGUGUGAAAUCUUGGAGCUUAACUCCGAAACUGCAUUCGAUACUGCCGUGCUUGAGGACCGGAGAGGAGACUGGAAUUUACGGUGUAGCGGUGAAAUGCGUAGAUAUCGUAAGGAAGACCAGUGGCGAAGGCGGGUCUCUGGACAGUUCCUGACGCUGAGGCACGAAGGCCAGGGGAGCAAACAGG
RNAcentral lists this ribosomal RNA (253 nucleotides) under uncultured bacterium. RNAcentral describes it as "partial 16S ribosomal RNA". It matches the Rfam family "Bacterial small subunit ribosomal RNA", at positions 524 to 776 of the family's 1533-position model. The record is from RNAcentral.